Molecule: ribosomal RNA, 1469 nt
Filed under: metagenome
Description: bacterial SSU rRNA
Rfam family: Bacterial small subunit ribosomal RNA
Source: RNAcentral
AGAGUUUGAUCCUGGCUCAGGACGAACGCUGGCGGCACGCUUAACACAUGCAAGUCGAACGGGAGAAGAGGAGCUUGCUUUUCUGAUCUAGUGGCGGACGGGUGAGUAACACGUGAGCAAUCUGCCUUUCAGAGGGGGAUACCGAUUGGAAACGAUCGUUAAUACCGCAUAACAUAAUUGAACCGCAUGAUUUGAUUAUCAAAGAUUUAUCGCUGAAAGAUGAGCUCGCGUCUGAUUAGCUAGUUGGUAAGGUAACGGCUUACCAAGGCGACGAUCAGUAGCCGGACUGAGAGGUUGAUCGGCCACAUUGGGACUGAGACACGGCCCAGACUCCUACGGGAGGCAGCAGUGGGGAAUAUUGCACAAUGGAGGAAACUCUGAUGCAGCGAUGCCGCGUGAGGGAAGAAGGUUUUAGGAUUGUAACCUCUGUCUUCAGGGACGAAAAAAGACGGUACCUGAGGAGGAAGCUCCGGCUAACUACGUGCCAGCAGCCGCGGUAAUACGUAGGGAGCGAGCGUUGUCCGGAAUUACUGGGUGUAAAGGGAGCGUAGGCGGGAUCGCAAGUCAGAUGUGAAAACUAUGGGCUUAACCCAUAAACUGCAUUUGAAACUGUGGUUCUUGAGUGAAGUAGAGGUAAGCGGAAUUCCUAGUGUAGCGGUGAAAUGCGUAGAUAUUAGGAGGAACAUCAGUGGCGAAGGCGGCUUACUGGGCUUUAACUGACGCUGAGGCUCGAAAGCGUGGGGAGCAAACAGGAUUAGAUACCCUGGUAGUCCACGCCGUAAACGAUGAUUACUAGGUGUGGGGGGACUGACCCCUUCCGUGCCGCAGCAAACGCAAUAAGUAAUCCACCUGGGGAGUACGACCGCAAGGUUGAAACUCAAAGGAAUUGACGGGGGCCCGCACAAGCAGUGGAGUAUGUGGAUUAAUUCGAAGCAACGCGAAGAACCUUACCAGGUCUUGACAUCGUAUGCAUAGCUCAGAGAUGAGUGAAAUCUCUUCGGAGACAUAUAGACAGGUGGUGCAUGGUUGUCGUCAGCUCGUGUCGUGAGAUGUUGGGUUAAGUCCCGCAACGAGCGCAACCCUUACUGUUAGUUGCUACGCAAGAGCACUCUAGCAGGACUGCCGUUGACAAAACGGAGGAAGGUGGGGAUGACGUCAAAUCAUCAUGCCCCUUAUGACCUGGGCCUCACACGUACUACAAUGGCUGUCAACAGAGGGAAGCAAAGCCGCGAGGUGGAGCGAACCCCUAAAAGCAGUCUUAGUUCGGAUUGUAGGCUGCAACCCGCCUACAUGAAGUCGGAAUUGCUAGUAAUCGCAGAUCAGCAUGCUGCGGUGAAUACGUUCCCGGGCCUUGUACACACCGCCCGUCACGCCAUGGGAGUCGGUAACACCCGAAGCCUGUAGUCUAACCGCAAGGAGGACGCAGUCGAAGGUGGGAUUGAUGACUGGGGUGAAGUCGUAACAAGGUA